CCCCCCCCCCCCCCCCCCCCCCCCCCCCCCCCCCCCCCCCCCCCCCCCCCCCCCCCCCCCCCCCCCCGCGGAGGGCGGCGGCGGCCACCACCGAGGAGCGGCGGCGGCAAAGUUUUGGUGUGGGGGGCCAGAGGCGCGGAGGGGAAUUACGAUCGGUGCCGGCGAGGGAUUCCCAGACACCGCCAGGAGGAGACCAAUGAUGCUUGUCGUGCCAUGGCUUUGCGAGGGAUCUUUAGCAGAGCCUGGGAGCAGGAGCAGCUGAAGCACAUUCUCUUGUGUCCCUGGAGAAGACAGGGAGGGGUCACAGCAGGAAGAACAAGGCAAAGGCAGGCCAGAUCUGACAGAUAGCGGAUAUGAGGACUUUGCUGACUUCAGAAAGCUGACAGAAAGCAACAGACCUCAGUGAAAUACCCCUCCAAGAACAGAGACUUUUGGUAGCAUUAAAUUGACCUGUUGUUCAACUACAAAGACAUGGCAACUGGUUCUUUCAGCACACAUGGAGGAAGGCAACAAACAUUGUAACCCUGGCUAAAAAGACUCUGUUUUCCUUAUCAAAAGUAGGAGUUAGGGCAAUUAUAAAAGGAUUAUUUUAUUGUUAGCCUCCAGGACUUUAACUCUGCCUGAACACUGGACAUAAAUAGAAGCCAAUUUUAAUGACCUGAGAUUUUGUUACCUGUGUGUUAUUAUUGUUAUCAGUUCCUGAAUAGUUUGGUAC
This 715-nucleotide long non-coding RNA is filed under the name Ficedula albicollis (Collared flycatcher). RNAcentral's name for it is "lncRNA (ENSFALG00000019745.2)". Lineage: Eukaryota; Metazoa; Chordata; Aves; Passeriformes; Muscicapidae. The record is from RNAcentral.